UACGUAGGUGGCAAGCGUUGUCCGGAAUUAUUGGGCGUAAAGCGCGCGCAGGCGGUUCUUUAAGUCUGAUGUGAAAGCCCACGGCUCAACCGUGGAGGGUCAUUGGAAACUGGAGAACUUGAGUACAGAAGAGGAAAGCGGAAUUCCACGUGUAGCGGUGAAAUGCGUAGAGAUGUGGAGGAACACCAGUGGCGAAGGCGGCUUUCUGGUCUGUAACUGACGCUGAGGCGCGAAAGCGUGGGGAGCAAACAGGAUUAGAUACCCUGGUAGUCCACGCCGUAAACGAUGAGUGCUAAGUGUUAGGGGGUUUCCGCCCCUUAGUGCUGCAGCUAACGCAUUAAGCACUCCGCCUGGGGAGUACGACCGCAAGGUUGAA
Molecule: ribosomal RNA, 376 nt
Filed under: uncultured bacterium
Lineage: Bacteria
Description: bacterial SSU rRNA
Rfam family: Bacterial small subunit ribosomal RNA
Source: RNAcentral